This is a long non-coding RNA of Polyodon spathula (Mississippi paddlefish), 552 nucleotides long. RefSeq lists it as uncharacterized. The record is from RefSeq and is a predicted model, not a curated record. The transcript is spliced from 3 exons. Lineage: Eukaryota; Metazoa; Chordata; Actinopteri; Acipenseriformes; Polyodontidae.
UGCAAAUUCUAGAAUGAGAACUACUACUUGGCUUUGCGCUAUACAACAGUUGAUGGCGAAGUAGGGUAUGUGCAGAUGAAAUGUCCAGUUAGUGCAGGAGAACCAACAAAAGCACCUGCAACUACAAACACAGCCACAAAAUCAACAAGGACCCCUCCAGCACCGGAUGUGAUGUGUAAUUCCUCCAGCAUGAUGAUGGUGCUGCCCAUGGAUCCUCUGGACCUAGUUGAGCUUUUAGAUUAUUCCGACAAAUGGGUAGUCGUCAACAAGGCCCCCGUUUAUUGCAACUACACCUUACUACAGGGAAGCAGAAGGACCCUUUUCAUAACCCCAUACAAAGCCUGUGAUGUCAGGAUACUGAAUGAGCACUACAUCUUGACCCUCCGCUAUACAACUUCUGGACAACAAGCUUAUGUUCAGAUGAAGUGCCCAACUGGUGCUCUAGCACCCACAAAAACGCCUUCCUCUACAACCACUACUAGAAAACCAACAAUACCCACUGUCUGCGAAGCCUCAGUCAUGACAAUAGAGCUGCCUGAAGGACCAAUUGAA